UACAGAGGUCCCAAGCGUUGUUCGGAUUCACUGGGCGUAAAGGGCGCGUAGGCGGCGGACCUUGUCGAGUGUGAAAGCCCCGGGCUCAACCUGGGAGGUGCGCUCGAAACGGGUUUGCUGGAGUUCGGGAGAGGAGCGUGGAAUUCCCAGUGUAGAGGUGAAAUUCGUAGAUAUUGGGAAGAACACCGGUGGCGAAGGCGGCGCUCUGGACCGAGACUGACGCUGAGGCGCGAAAGCGUGGGGAGCAAACAGG
RNAcentral lists this ribosomal RNA (253 nucleotides) under uncultured bacterium. RNAcentral describes it as "partial 16S ribosomal RNA". It matches the Rfam family "Bacterial small subunit ribosomal RNA", at positions 524 to 776 of the family's 1533-position model. The record is from RNAcentral.